This 589-nucleotide ribosomal RNA is filed under the name uncultured bacterium. RNAcentral describes it as "partial 16S ribosomal RNA". It matches the Rfam family "Bacterial small subunit ribosomal RNA", at positions 355 to 1375 of the family's 1533-position model. The record is from RNAcentral.
UGGGGAAUUUUGGACAAUGGGCGAAAGCCUGAUCCAGCAAUGCCGCGUGUGUGAAGAAGGCCUUCGGGUUGUAAAGCACUUUUGUCCGGAAAGAAAUCCUUGGCUCUAAUACAGUCGGGGGAUGACGGUACCGGAAGAAUAAGCACCGGCUAACUACGUGCCAGCAGCCGCGGUAAUACGUAGGGUGCAAGCGUUAAUCGGAAUUACUGGGCGUAAAGCGUGCGCAGGCGGUUUGCUAAGACCGAUGUGAAAUCCCCGGGCUCAACCUGGGAACUGCAUUGGUGACUGGCAGGCUAGAGUAUGGCAGAGGGGGGUAGAAUUCCACGUGUAGCAGUGAAAUGCGUAGAGAUGUGGAGGAAUACCGAUGGCGAAGGCAGCCCCCCUGGGCCAAUACUGACGCUCAUGCACGAAAGCGUGGGGAGCAAAACAGGAUUAGAUACCCUGGUAGUCCACGCCCUAAACGAUGUCAACUAGUUGUUGGGGGAUUCAUUUCCUUAGUAACGUAGCUAACGCGUGAAGUUGACCGCCUGGGGGAGUACGGUCGCAAGAUUAAAACUCAAAGGAAUUGACGGGGUCAUAGCUGUUUCCU